RNAcentral lists this long non-coding RNA (2990 nucleotides) under Equus caballus (horse). RNAcentral describes it as "lncRNA (ENSECAG00000032906.3)". The record is from RNAcentral. Lineage: Eukaryota; Metazoa; Chordata; Mammalia; Perissodactyla; Equidae.
UCUGUUUCCUGGCAACCAGCUCACUACUCCCUGAAGGGCACUUUCAAGAAAGUUCAAUCAAUGGAAGGGUCAAAUGUUUUCUUUUUCAAACGUCCAUUUUGCAUGUAAUGGCUGCUCCAUGCAGAGUUUACGGGUGUUCUCUUGUUCAUGAGAUCUAGCGUCCUUCUGCACAAAUGCAUGUGCUAUGGGUAAGAAAUUACUUCAACUGAGUUUAUUGGCAUUUCUUAGAGCAUAUGAGUUCAAAGAAAAUUAUUACAGGUCUUGGAAAAAUGGACUUCCACUUAACAGAAGGAAAUAUGGAGUCUUCAAGAAGUUAAGUCACAAACCUCAAGCUACAUAAGUCACUGGUCAGCUCUGUGGAUGAGCAGCUCUCCUGAGGGGCACUGUGUACCCUGGGGGCUCCCUCUGUGAGUGUGGAGGCAGUGCCACGGAUCCCUGGAGUCUUGGUGCUCUGGAGAGCUCUCUGUUUCUGACCAACGUGACGCAUUUUCUUUAAUUCCCAGUUGUCACACUGCAGACAUUCAUUCUCCUAUCUAUAGCCAUUGUUACUGGGCGUGCUAGAAAUAAUAAGCUGGAGGGAAUAGGGCAGCCUUUCAGAAGACAGACCCAUGAGAAAUAACCCCAAAUAGAAGCAGUGAGUUGCCAUUUCUCGCUCACUCAGCUGAUGUUCUGGAGCACUUCUCGUGUGCUAGACUCCAUGAGUGCUGGACGGGAGGGACACCAUAGGCGAAUCUGACCCAACCUGUCUAGCAUAGAACUGCAAAUAAGUAGAAAAGACUGUGUUAUGUUAACCUUGGCCAAGUUAACUUGGACCUUAGUUUCCUAAUGUAAAAGGAGGCUUGGGCCAGGUGGUUCCCUAAGAUGUGUUUUAAUUCUCUGAUUCAUAUUUAUAUGAAACUUUACCCUAAGUUCCUUAAAGAAAUCCUAAAGGACAGAGGGAUAUAAAAAGAAACAUAAACAUUUUAAAUGAUUUUAGAACAUCUUAAUUUCCUCUCCAUAAUGUCUUAGAAUGAACUAAUAAUGAUGGCUUCAUCCAGGGAGCCAAUUUUAGCUCAACAUUUAGGAGUCAUUGUGGACAAUUCCCAAGGGCCUCAACUGUCCCUUCCUUUGUUUUCCUUUUUGCCCCUUCUGGUUUGCUUCUGCUCAAGUUUUCCAUGUCAAUUUUUUGCCAUCUCUCCCUGCCUGCUGGUUCCUCCAUAUGGUUUACUGCCCGUGUUAAUUCACUUUUAUUUGACCCCUAGAACCAUCCAUCAAAUUCUCAUGUGGCUAUUGGCAUAUCAUUGUUUUAGUAGGGGGCUCAGAGCUUUCCAUUGAUUUCUGGCCAAAAUUCCUGUAACUCUUGCUGCUCUUUCUUCCUCCAUCCUCAUCUGUCUUUAGCUGUUAAAAAGUGAUAUUAGCAUUUAGGGGACUUCCCCCAUCCACUCUCAUAUUUCCUUCCCCCAAAUCUCAGUUUUCAAAAAUGAACAAAGUAAUAAUGCAGGAGACACUAUUAUGCUAAGAAAACCAGGAUUUUACUUAUUAAAGAAGUGGAGAUUCAAAUCAUAAUAGAUUUGAAUUUUCUUUGGAAAACUUAUUACGUUCUAUUAAGUUGUAUGUGAGUUAGGCUCACAAGCUAUGGUUUGUAUUGUUAUAAUUACCAGAUGGAAUAAAGAUUAUAAAACACACUGAAGAAGGAAAUGCAGCUUGAGAAUAUUUUAAAAGUGUUAAUUCAAGGCAUUUCAAUUUUUUUAUUAGCCCCUUUGUAAUUACAAAGUACAAGUUAAAUGAAAGUACAAGCUAAAUGAAACUAAAGAAUAGGAUAAAAGAAGGAAGAUAUUUUAAAGGACUCAAUUUAAUGUAAUUGUCAGACAUUCCCAGUUUUGCCCAAAGGCACCUCCAUCCAUCUGUCCAUCUAUCCAUUCAAUAACUGGGCACUGAAGGGGUAGGCGUAUGGUACAUACAACAAACGAAUUGGAUGUUGUCUCUUCUAUGCAUCUUUCAUUCUAAUGGGUGGAGACCAAAAAACGAGAACAAAAAAACAAGUAAACAAAUAAAAGAACAUAAUAAUUUCAAAAUGUGGUAAGUUCUAUGAGAAAUGGUGGAGGGGAGCAGAUGUUAGAGAAUGCCCUGGGGAACACUUUAGGGUCCUAACGUCUGAGGAGGUGGCAUUGGAGAGGAAGCCUGACGAUGAGAAAGAACUAAUCAUACAGAUAGGCAAACAAAGAGUGUUCUGAGGUGGAAAUAUUAAUGUUCUUUACAGGGAAAAUGAACUCCCACCCCAGAAACGCAUUUUCUGAAAGGGCUUUAAGAUGGUGAGAGAAACGGCCAGUCAGGAGACAGUUGUGUACACCGAACUCUAGCUGAGGAAACAGUAACAAGAAGCCACAUCCUGAUUCGCAUCCUCCUCCCAAAACCCUGCAACUUCCUGAAUUCCCGUGCUCCUCAGGCGGGACUUCCUGUUGGAGAUGGAGCUAAAGAAGCUGAAAAACUCCUCCAUCCUUCCUAAGAUAGAUCUCAUUUAUGCAUGAGGUCAGACAAAUUUCCCUAAUGCUGCCCUUGAGGGGAUAUCCAGGGAUAACAAAGGCUGUCUUCCAUGCCUCUCCCCGAAUCCAGAUGUAAACCAGAAAACAUAAAAUAAAAAGCCAAAAAUCAUUCCAAAAAGUCGACAUUAAAUUGACAAAAAGACCACGUGUGUUCUACUUGGCCUGUUUUACAUGGUUUGUCUGAAUUCUCUCCCACCUCCCCAUCCUGCCAAGACAUCAGGGACGUAUUGACUUUCAUUUCCUUGAAAUAGUUAAUUUUUGCAACCAAGGUUCCAAACAGGAGGUUUAAACUGGGGAUCCACUCACUCUGUGUGUAGGUCAUUUAAGAGCUCAAUCUCAUCUUUGAAAUAUAGAUUAGCCAGGAGAGUAUGAGUUCAGCAUUUCUAUGUAAUGUUGUUUCAUUGAUCCUGCAGGCCAACUGGACAUGGCUUCAGACGGAUACCUAAAAAUUAGUUUUAAAACUUUCCC